CGAAGUCAAGCAUCAUUGGGCGCUGUCAGUACUUGGGUGGGUGACCACCUGGGAACACCGCGUGCUGUU
This 69-nucleotide ribosomal RNA is filed under the name Caerostris extrusa. The record is from RNAcentral. Lineage: Eukaryota; Metazoa; Arthropoda; Arachnida; Araneae; Araneidae.